UAUUUUAUAAGUUUUAAAACUUUGAAAAAUACAAAACUAUAUAGUGACUUUAAGUAGCUCGCAAAAUAAAUUAUAAAAUCACAAGCUCAAAAGUUAUAGUUCUUUGAAAAUUCAAAAAGUAUAGUUACUUUUUUAACUGAAAAACUAGAUAAUUUAUGCAUGUUGAUUUAUAUCAUGUCGUUUCAUCUAGUAUCUUAUAGUUUGCUUCC
RNAcentral lists this long non-coding RNA (209 nucleotides) under Carica papaya (papaya). Its description in RNAcentral is "long non-coding RNA (CPAP_LNC004878)". The record is from RNAcentral. Lineage: Eukaryota; Viridiplantae; Streptophyta; Magnoliopsida; Brassicales; Caricaceae.